CACAUUUUUCAACAAGUUUAAUUUUAAGUAACCUUUCCCCGUGGAUUCGAUCCUGUAAGAUACUACAACGCCUGUAUACUUGCAGGUAAAACUGCACUAGAUUUUUGAUUCAUUAAUUUGAGUCACAGUUUAGUCCAAUCAAUAAACAAAGAUUUGGGAUGGCUAGGGAAGGACUUAGAGGUGUUGGUGAAGCUAUUGGUAAUGGUGGUUGGUCGUGGGUAGCGGUGUGGGCGGCGGUUAAAGGCUAAAAUAUCCAAAUAAAAAAAAAAAGAUGGAGGGGCUUCAAUAGUGGCAGAUCGGGGCUGAUGUUGGGUGAGUUAGGUAGUUGGGAGGUUGCCGGUGAGGUGGUGAGAAGAUGGCAGCCCAAGGUGGUGCCACAGUGGCACUGGGACACUAAGAGCGUACAGCUUGAAGCCAUGUGUGGAGAAGUUUUGUGACGCGGGAGGGGCUAAAAAUGGAGGGGUGAGGUUGCCAGCUGGUGGGGAAGAAGAUAAGAGAGGUGGCGCACGGCGGGAGAGAGAGAGAGAGAGAGAUAGAGAGAGAGAGAGAGAGAGAGAGAGAGAGAGAGAGAGAGAGAGAGAGAGAGAGAGAGAGAGAGAGAGAGCCCCAGAGCCCCAGAGCGCCAGUGGCAACCCAAAAACCCGGGCUCUAACAAGCCAGCCAAGUCAAGUUGGUGGAUUUCUAGGAAGCCAUCGGGGCUGAGAAAACUAAGUUAAGCCAAAAAGGGUUGAAGUUGCAAAAAAUGGGGGCAGUGGGCUAAGCAAAAGUACAAAAGGCAGAAGAAAGAUAGCAAUGCGAAUGGAAAGGGGAGCGAAUUUAAAGGCAUGGUCUCAUAGUUGCAGAGAGAGGGGUAACAUCUGACAACCUAAACUUGCAAGGAAUGUGAAGCAAUAGGAACCAUAUUGGCACCCCGGUAGCAGUAUAUGAGGAAUCACCAUCGGACACAUGGAAUGGCCACUAACCAGCUCAUGUCGCCAUUCAUUGACAAGAAGAGUGAUCAACUGUGAUAAACAAGAAGCUAUGAAAAUUUCCAUCAGAUCAACCCAAUGAGAAUUGGCGGGGUAACUGUUAGGGGGUAUAUUCGUCAGGGCCUAAAGCCCAUAGUACUGCCCUAGGCCCAUUACUUCGCCAAGCCCCAUGAGCUCCAGGAAUGACGACUCGAGCUCGGAAGGGCCCCCCUUUGAUAGCCAGGGUGGGUCCCAAACCCAUGCGGGUUGGGCAGGAUCCAGACCCAUGCAGAUUAGAGGUAAUCAUCAACAUUGAGAUGUGACGUUACAAAAGGGUGCAGGAAACCAUAAUCGGGAAAAAGGAAAGAGACGGCAUCCGGCAAUGCUACCAAAGACCCAUACCGCAUUAAAUGAUUGACACAAAAAAACCACACCGCAUUAAAUUCAAUAUGGUGGUGGAGACUUCAAGGAGAGGCGUCCCUUCGCCCGAAAACACAAGGCAUGUCCUAACUUGAAUGACCAAGUAUAAAAAGUCACCCAGAACUAGGAGGUAAGUGGGGAUGAAUUCAAGUCUGUUGUCAAUCAUAUAUAACUGUUGUCUUCUUAUUUAAUCAUUUUAUCUCUACUCUAUACUAACUUUGCCAUCAAAGGUUUCCCGGGCUACCGCAGUGCCACCCCUCUCCCGCCUCAGGAUCCGCCAUAAGUGAAGACCUGCACCGCUGAGCAACCCGGCCCAAGGGUGUACAAAACACGACGUUAACUUUAGUAUUGAAAAUAUUAUAAUAUUAAACUUAUAUAGUGUUACACGUGUAAACAGUAAACUGGAAAACCGGAUUGUAUAAGUUCAAAACUGAAAAAACUGAAAGUUCUGAUUUUGGUAAUGAAUCGAUCCAUAUUAUUUCUUAAAUUUUCAAAGUUGGUAUAUACCGAUUCAGUUCCAAAAUGUUUUCAAAAUCGAACCGGCUACACCCCUAACUCCAAUGCUUAAGUUAAAGAAAACCUAAAGUCUCUUAAUCAAUCUAAUAAUCUAGCGGCACAUACUUGGUGGUGUAUUUAUAUGGUUUAAGGCAUCCCAUUUGGUAAAGUCUUUCUCGUGGAUAAGAUACUGGAGAUGAUAGUGUGCCGCCAACAUGGGUAUCUAUGCGGGACUGGCCUAUUAUGUUGGCGUGAACCUUUCACGAGACAAACCCCAACAACGUUAUCAGCACGAUGCGUGAAAAAUCUUCCUUCUGCCGCUUAGUUCUCGAGUUUCUCUCUCAUGGGAUAGAUGGUAGCAGGAAAGGCCUAACUUUCAUGUAUGACAGAGUUCGAAUCAGAGAGUUCGGCCACAUGCUUGCCGGAAUCCUGGAGCUUCGGCCAAGAAAACCCAGUUCUUUUUCAUUAUUCUCACUUGAAGCUUCGAAUGUUGAGCGAGUUCACGCCGCCUCCCAUGGGCGUGGCCAACCUACCCUUUAGGCAAAUCUUGUUCUUCUUGAUCGACUCGAUCACCUCCUCGGGAACCUUCUUCAUGUCCCCAUGCACCUCGACUCGGAAAGGCGUGUAGAGGAACCAUCCGGCCUUUCUCCCAAACCUGCCUCUAUUGCCUCCGGCGGAGGAAACGAACCCUGUGCCUCGUCUUCUUCGGCAACUCGGUCACCAGAUCCAGCAGAUGCAGCUCGCACUCCGACAGAUGCAACUCGUCUUGAAUGGCCGGUCCGUUCUCGGGAUUAUGGGUUCUCUUGUUGACAGCCCGCUCGUCAUUACAUGGUCCUCAAGGCCAACGUCGACCAUUUGACUCUGAUCCAGAUCGGUCUCACCCUCUCAGAUGAAGAGGGAAAUCUUUCGGAUCUGGGCACGAACAUCCUUUACAUAUCUGGAAUGAUGGGGACCGGAAGCAAGCGAAAGAAUGAUCAGAAUUAUUCUCCGGCGGAUCUAGGACCACAUAGACUACAUCCUCCUCUUCUCGUUGACCGGAUGGCCUUGCAGAUCUGAAUUUCUUUAUGGGUUGAUUCAUGUCGUGAAGAAAUGGUGGAGAUGGAUUGAAGAGUCGAAGGCAUCGAUUACCUGGGGCAGUCCAUAUACAUUGGCGACCCGAAUCACUGCUUUCCCAGACGGUUCCUGGACAACUUUAAUCUCUCAGACGCACAGGUACGCAAGAUUUGGUCUGAAAUGGCAGAAAGCAAAGUGAGCAUAGCGAAUUGGUUGCUAGCGGUGAAACGCAGUUCCGGCAAGUCUUACAGUCAGGUAGCGGUGGAGAUGGGCCUCACCAACGUCUACGUUGCCCAGCUCCUCAGAUGCCAAGCCCAGCUGAAGCCCGAAACAGCUCCUAAACUAAAGGCAGUGCUGCCCGAACUUACUGACGACGACCUCCAGGAGAUGAUGAGGCCGCCCAUGCGCUCCUACGACCCCAAUUUAAUUGGAUCUUCUAUUCAGCACGUAGGUUCCGAUGAUUAAGAAGUUAUUACUCUUCACUUUAAGUAAAUUUUUUAAUAUAUUAUUUAUAAUCUCUAAGAUGAGUAUUAAAAAUUAUAUUUAUUUUUAUUAUUUGAUAAAAUUUUAUAUUUAUUCACAUAAUUUAUAACUCAGUUAUAUUUGUGAUAAAUUUUUAUUCACAUAAUUUAUAUAUAAGUUCUAUUUAUUUUUUAUACUUGUUAUGAAUUAUUGAUAAUAAGUUUCAUCUUAUAAUAGAAAUGGAGCAUUCCUGAAAGAUCGCUUUAAAUCAAUAAUUUUAUUGAGUAUAUCAUAGUUUAAAGAAGUGAUACGUGUACCAAAAGCUCAUUAUGAUUAAUAUACCUGAAGUUGCAUAA
Molecule: long non-coding RNA, 3733 nt
Organism: Carya illinoinensis
Lineage: Eukaryota; Viridiplantae; Streptophyta; Magnoliopsida; Fagales; Juglandaceae
Exons: 2
Source: RefSeq, a predicted model, not a curated record